UGUAACGGGGCUAAACCAUGCACCGAAGCUGCGGCAGCGACACUGUGUGUUGUUGGGUAGGGGAGCGUUCUGUAAGCCUGUGAAGGUGUGCUGUGAGGCAUGCUGGAGGUAUCAGAAGUGCGAAUGCUGACAUAAGUAACGAUAAAGCGGGUGAAAAGCCCGCUCGCCGGAAGACCAAGGGUUCCUGUCCAACGUUAAUCGGGGCAGGGUGAGUCGACCCCUAAGGCGAGGCCGAAAGGCGUAGUCGAUGGGAAACAGGUUAAUAUUCCUGUACUUGGUGUUACUGCGAAGGGGGGACGGAGAAGGCUAUGUUGGCCGGGCGACGGUUGUCCCGGUUUAAGCGUGUAGGCUGGUUUUCCAGGCAAAUCCGGAAAAUCAAGGCUGAGGCGUGAUGACGAGGCACUACGGUGCUGAAGCAACAAAUGCCCUGCUUCCAGGAAAAGCCUCUAAGCAUCAGGUAACAUCAAAUCGUACCCCAAACCGACACAGGUGGUCAGGUAGAGAAUACCAAGGCGCUUGAGAGAACUCGGGUGAAGGAACUAGGCAAAAUGGUGCCGUAACUUCGGGAGAAGGCACGCUGAUAUGUAGGUGAAGUCCCUCGCGGAUGGAGCUGAAAUCAGUCGAAGAUACCAGCUGGCUGCAACUGUUUAUUAAAAACACAGCACUGUGCAAACACGAAAGUGGACGUAUACGGUGUGACGCCUGCCCGGUGCCGGAAGGUUAAUUGAUGGGGUCAGCGCAAGCGAAGCUCUUGAUCGAAGCCCCGGUAAACGGCGGCCGUAACUAUAACGGUCCUAAGGUAGCGAAAUUCCUUGUCGGGUAAGUUCCGACCUGCACGAAUGGCGUAAUGAUGGCCAGGCUGUCUCCACCCGAGACUCAGUGAAAUUGAACUCGCUGUGAAGAUGCAGUGUACCCGCGGCAAGACGGAAAGACCCCGUGAACCUUUACUAUAGCUUGACACUGAACAUUGAGCCUUGAUGUGUAGGAUAGGUGGGAGGCUUUGAAGUGUGGACGCCAGUCUGCAUGGAGCCGACCUUGAAAUACCACCCUUUAAUGUUUGAUGUUCUAACGUGGACCCGUGAUCCGGGUUGCGGACAGUGUCUGGUGGGUAGUUUGACUGGGGCGGUCUCCUCCUAAAGAGUAACGGAGGAGCACGAAGGUUGGCUAAUCCUGGUCGGACAUCAGGAGGUUAGUGCAAUGGCAUAAGCCAGCUUGACUGCGAGCGUGACGGCGCGAGCAGGUGCGAAAGCAGGUCAUAGUGAUCCGGUGGUUCUGAAUGGAAGGGCCAUCGCUCAACGGAUAAAAGGUACUCCGGGGAUAACAGGCUGAUACCGCCCAAGAGUUCAUAUCGACGGCGGUGUUUGGCACCUCGAUGUCGGCUCAUCACAUCCUGGGGCUGAAGUAGGUCCCAAGGGUAUGGCUGUUCGCCAUUUAAAGUGGUACGCGAGCUGGGUUUAGAACGUCGUGAGACAGUUCGGUCCCUAUCUGCCGUGGGCGCUGGAGAACUGAGGGGGGCUGCUCCUAGUACGAGAGGACCGGAGUGGACGCAUCACUGGUGUUCGGGUUGUCAUGCCAAUGGCACUGCCCGGUAGCUAAAUGCGGAAGAGAUAAGUGCUGAAAGCAUCUAAGCACGAAACUUGCCCCGAGAUGAGUUCUCCCUGACCCUUUAAGGGUCCUGAAGGAACGUUGAAGACGACGACGUUGAUAGGCCGGGUGUGUAAGCGCAGCGAUGCGUUGAGCUAACCGGUACUAAUGAACCGUGAGGCUUAACCUUACAACGCCGAAGGUGUUU
This 1792-nucleotide ribosomal RNA is filed under the name Escherichia coli. RNAcentral's name for it is "partial 23S ribosomal RNA". It matches the Rfam family "Bacterial large subunit ribosomal RNA", at positions 1171 to 2925 of the family's 2925-position model. Lineage: Bacteria; Pseudomonadati; Pseudomonadota; Gammaproteobacteria; Enterobacterales; Enterobacteriaceae. The record is from RNAcentral.